Molecule: ribosomal RNA, 440 nt
Filed under: uncultured bacterium
Lineage: Bacteria
Description: partial 16S ribosomal RNA
Rfam family: Bacterial small subunit ribosomal RNA
Source: RNAcentral
CCUACGGGUGGCAGCAGUGGGGGAUAUUGCACAAUGGGGGGAACCCUGAUGCAGCGACGCCGCGUGGGGGAAGACGGCCCUCUGGAUUGAAAGCCACAUUGGCCAGGGACAAAGAAGACGGUACCUGCCCAGGAAGCUCCGGCUAACUACGUGCCAGCAGCCGCGGUAAUACGUAGGGGGCGAGCGUUGUCCGGAAUUACGGGGGGUAAGGGGAGCGUAGGCGGCGAUGGAGGUUGGGGGUAAAACCCGCGGGCUCAACCCGGAGUCGCCCUCAAAACUGCAGGGCUGGAGUGGGGGAGAGGCAGGCGGAAUUCCUGGUGUAGCGGUGAAAUGCGUAGAUAUCAGGAGGAACACCAGUGGCGAAGGCGGCCUGCUGGACCGUGACUGACGCUGAGGCUCGAAAGCGUGGGGAGCGAACAGGAUUAGAUACCCUGGUAGUC